GACGAACGCUGGCGGCGUGCUUAACACAUGCAAGUCGAACGGAAAGGCCCUGCGUUUGUGGGGUGCUCGAGUGGCGAACGGGUGAGUAUCACGUGAGUAACCUGCCCUUGACUUUGGGAUAACUUCAGGAAACUGGGGCUAAUACCGGAUAGGCGUUCCUGCUGCAGGGUGGGGGUUGGAAAGUUUCGGCGGUUGGGGAUGGACUAGCGGCUUAUCAGCUUGUUGGUGGGGUAGUGGCUUACCAAGGCUUUGACGGGUAGCCGGCCUGGGAGGGUGACCGGCCACAUUGGGACUGAGAUACGGCCCAGACUCCUACGGGAGGCAGCAGUGGGGAGUAUUGCACAAUGGGCGGAAGCCUGAGGCAGCAACGCCGCGUGCGGGAUGACGGCCUUCGGGUUGUAAACCGCUUUCGCCUGUGACGAAGCGUGAGUGACGGUAAUGGGUAAAGAAGCACCGGCUAACUACGUG
RNAcentral lists this ribosomal RNA (468 nucleotides) under uncultured bacterium. Its description in RNAcentral is "partial 16S ribosomal RNA". It matches the Rfam family "Bacterial small subunit ribosomal RNA", at positions 28 to 507 of the family's 1533-position model. The record is from RNAcentral.